GGCGUGGUAGCUCAGCUGGUCAGAGCGCAGGAUUCAUAAUCCUGAGGUCGGGAGUUCAAGCCUCCCCCACGCUA
RNAcentral lists this transfer RNA (74 nucleotides) under Saprospiraceae bacterium. RNAcentral describes it as "tRNA-Met". It matches the Rfam family "tRNA". Rfam says of the family: Transfer RNA (tRNA) molecules are approximately 80 nucleotides in length. Their secondary structure includes four short double-helical elements and three loops (D, anti-codon, and T loops). Lineage: Bacteria; Pseudomonadati; Bacteroidota; Saprospiria; Saprospirales; Saprospiraceae. The record is from RNAcentral.